CCUACGGGUGGCAGCAGUCGGGAAUAUUGCGCAAUGGAGGAAACUCUGACGCAGUGACGCCGCGUGCAGGAAGAAGGUUUUCGGAUUGUAAACUGCUUUAGACAGGGAAGAAAAAAGACAGUACCUGUAGAAUAAGCUCCGGCUAACCACGUGCCAGCAGCCGCGGCAAUACGUAGGGAGCAAGCGUUGUCCGGAAUUACUGGGUGUAAAGGGAGCGUAGGGGGGACUGCAAGUUGGGUGGCAAAUCUACCGGUGCAACCGGUAGCCGCACUCAAAACUGCAGUUCUUGAGUGAAGUAGAGGCAGGCGGAAUUCCUAGUGUAGCGGUGAAAUGCGUAGAGAUUAGGAGGAACACCAGUGGCGAAGGCGGCCUGCUGGGCUUUUACUGACGCUGAGGCUCGAAAGUGUGGGGAGCAAACAGGAUUAGAUACCCCAGUAGUC
RNAcentral lists this ribosomal RNA (440 nucleotides) under uncultured bacterium. RNAcentral's name for it is "partial 16S ribosomal RNA". It matches the Rfam family "Bacterial small subunit ribosomal RNA", at positions 338 to 795 of the family's 1533-position model. The record is from RNAcentral.